CCGCCAUGAUCUGCGGGCAGAUCAGGUGCACAUGACAGUCGAUCCCACCCGCGGUGACGAUGCGCCCGUUGCCGGCGAUGAUCUCCGUCGACGGACCGAUCACCAGAUCCGGGUGAACGCCGUCCAUGAUGUCGGGGUUGCCGGCCUUGCCGAUCGCGGCGAUCCUGCCGUCGCGAAUCCCGAUGUCAGCCUUGAUGAUUCCCCAGUGGUCGAGGAUGACCACGCCGGUGAUCACGGUGUCCGGGGCGCCGUCGGCGCGAGUGGCGCGGCCCUGGCCCAUCGAUUCGCGCAG
This 292-nucleotide small RNA is filed under the name Mycobacterium sp. 852013-51886_SCH5428379. RNAcentral describes it as "5' ureB small RNA". It matches the Rfam family "5' ureB small RNA". The record is from Rfam by way of RNAcentral. Lineage: Bacteria; Bacillati; Actinomycetota; Actinomycetes; Mycobacteriales; Mycobacteriaceae.